This 512-nucleotide ribosomal RNA is filed under the name uncultured bacterium. RNAcentral describes it as "partial 16S ribosomal RNA". It matches the Rfam family "Bacterial small subunit ribosomal RNA", at positions 28 to 523 of the family's 1533-position model. The record is from RNAcentral.
GAUGAACGCUGGCGGCGUGCCUAAUACAUGCAAGUCGAGCGAAUGAUGAGGAGCUUGCUCCUCUGAUUUAGCGGCGGACGGGUGAGUAACACGUGGGUAACCUGCCUGUAAGAUGGGGAUAACUCCGGGAAACCGGGGCUAAUACCGAAUAAUAAAAGAGGAAGCAUUUCUUCUUUUUGAAAGUUGGUUUCGGCUAACACUUACAGAUGGGCCCGCGGCGCAUUAGCUAGUUGGUGAGGUAACGGCUCACCAAGGCGACGAUGCGUAGCCGACCUGAGAGGGUGAUCGGCCACACUGGGACGGAGACACGGCCCAGACUCCUACGGGAGGCAGCAGUAGGGAAUCUUCGGCAAUGGGCGAAAGCCUGACCGAGCAACGCCGCGUGAGCGAGGAAGGCCUUCGGGUCGUAAAGCUCUGUUGUCAGGGAAGAACAAGUACGAGAGUAACUGCUCGUACCUUGACGGUACCUGACCAGAAAGCCACGGCUAACUACGUGCCAGCCGCCGCAGUAA